Molecule: long non-coding RNA, 616 nt
Filed under: Mytilus galloprovincialis (Mediterranean mussel)
Lineage: Eukaryota; Metazoa; Mollusca; Bivalvia; Mytilida; Mytilidae
Source: RNAcentral
UAUAAAUAACCCCUUUUUAGGCCACUAAAAUUUUCAAAUGUUGUAAGAUACUUUUAAAUCCUUAAAAAAAUUAUGUAAAUUAAAUAUAGUAAGGAUAAAAUGUGCAGAAAUUUUGCUGUGACCAUGAUCUUUACCUCAUUUUUAUGGUUUAUUGAUUGUGUAAAGUUUUUAUGCCCCCCCCCCUUUUAUAACUUUAUGAUAUGCAAGUUGGGUGCAUCAUCUUUGUCCCAUGGACACAUUCCCAUUUAUUUUGAUGUAGGACUAAUAUCUCAGACUAUUUGCAUAUAUCCAAUCUAUCAAUUUAGGGGAAAAAAAUACAUGUAUUACUAACGUUAUAUAUUAUGGGCUCUCCUUUACGGUAUUGUAUUUCAAAUCAAAAGUAGCUAAACAAUUCUUGUAAAGCAAAUGGUUCUAAACCAAUAGAGGUCAUUUAGUGAGCCUGAUUUCUUUGGAUCAUUCUUUUCUAUGUACAUACAUACCAGAGAGAGAGGGCCUUUUGAAACUCAAGUUUCAGGUCCAUGGGCAUGAUGGGAAGGACUUGAAUUGAACAAGUCCAUAUUUGAAAGUGUAAAUUUGUUGACAUUGACAGAAAUGACCAUAGCAAUUGAUAUCAGGG